AAAAUAAAUAAAAAAAUAAAAAUAUUCGUUUUGGAGCGCCGUGGCAAAACACGGGAAAAUAAACGUACAAACGGAAGCAUUUCCGGUCAAAAAGGGCGCAUGCACUUGCCUUUUUUUGACCCUGGACAAAUUUUGCUCAGAAGCACCCGCGGCUAGCGAAACGUGUUUGGAUUUCUAUUUCAUAAAACAGUCGGACUAAAAAGAUGGACUCAAGAAUAUAAAGCUAAAGAUGGUAACUAAAGUGCCGAAGCCUGAAGGCGACCUGGUGG
This 269-nucleotide long non-coding RNA is filed under the name Elaeis guineensis (African oil palm). RNAcentral describes it as "long non-coding RNA (EGUI_LNC011607)". Lineage: Eukaryota; Viridiplantae; Streptophyta; Magnoliopsida; Arecales; Arecaceae. The record is from RNAcentral.